This 452-nucleotide ribosomal RNA is filed under the name uncultured Anoxybacillus sp. RNAcentral describes it as "bacterial SSU rRNA". It matches the Rfam family "Bacterial small subunit ribosomal RNA", at positions 926 to 1382 of the family's 1533-position model. Lineage: Bacteria; Bacillati; Bacillota; Bacilli; Caryophanales; Anoxybacillaceae. The record is from RNAcentral.
CAAGCGGUGGAGCAUGUGGUUUAAUUCGACGCAACGCGAAGAACUACCAGGCUUGACAUCCCCUGACCGCGUAUGAAGUACGUUUCACCCUCGGGUGACAGGGAGACAGGUGGUGCAUGGUUGUCGUCAGCUCGUGUCGUGAGAUGUUGGGUUAAGUCCCGCAACGAGCGCAACCCUCGACCUUAGUUGCCAGCAUUCAGUUGGGCACUCUAAGGUGACUGCCGGCUAAAAGUCGGAGGAAGGUGGGGAUGACGUCAAAUCAUCAUGCCCCUUAUGACCUGGGCUACACACGUGCUACAAUGGGCGGUACAAAGGGUCGCGAACCCGCGAGGGGGAGCCAAUCCCAAAAAGCCGCUCUCAGUUCGGAUUGCAGGCUGCAACUCGCCUGCAUGAAGCCGGAAUCGCUAGUAAUCGCGGAUCAGCAUGCCGCGGUGAAUACGUUCCCGGGCCUU